RNAcentral lists this non-coding RNA (26 nucleotides) under Homo sapiens (human). The record is from RNAcentral. Lineage: Eukaryota; Metazoa; Chordata; Mammalia; Primates; Hominidae.
GAGGAAGACGUGGCUACCCUACUUGC